Long non-coding RNA from Triticum aestivum (bread wheat), 1273 nucleotides. RefSeq lists it as uncharacterized. The record is from RefSeq and is a predicted model, not a curated record. The transcript is spliced from 2 exons. Lineage: Eukaryota; Viridiplantae; Streptophyta; Magnoliopsida; Poales; Poaceae.
ACUCUCAAAGUACGUUGGCUGAUUGCUAGAAGAAACCAGCACCUUGUUGGUGCUCCACGAGUCAUAUGGACUGCCCACAUGGCUUUGGUUCAGCGGACUAUAGUCAACGAACGCAUCAUUCCCAUACACACAUAAAACGCAUCAGCCGCCCUGCACUCAUUACGCGUGUCCGGCGGCCCCCUGCACCGCUGUCUUCACAUGACCUUAUCCUCUCGCUCAGUCGUCUUCCCCAAUCCCCCUCCCAUCGUGUUGCCAUGUCCUUGCGUUGUUUGCCACAAUUUAUCUCACUCAUUGCCACUCCUCCACAGCACUGCGCCUAAUAGGCUCCCCUCUCUUCUUGCCCUUUCUUGCCCCAGCCGCUGGAGCUCGACAUGCCCUGCUGCGAGGCGACGGCAUCAUGGUUGCGGGGCGAUGGCAGCUUCCGGCGACGCGCUGCUCUCCCUUCUCUAUCCAGAAAGCCCACAAACGGCUUGCCGUCGCCCCGCCACGCCUAGAGUGCGCGACCAGAGCCAGCAGCAUCGCCACCAGGAAUGAGCGCCACGGAGGCCAAGCUUUCGACCCGGCAAAUCCACUGCUGCUCCGCCGCAUCGUCGGCUAGGCCGCCGCGCCACCAUCGGAGCGUCAUGGCCGCGGGCACCUUCAUCCGUUGCCACACGCCGCCUGGGCUUGCCCACGUUCCGAUCCAGCCGGCAAACGGACGGAUCCGUUUCCCCCUUGUCCGUCCCAGGCCUUUCUACCUCGCUGGAGUCGUCAAGGCGCCGACACUCUCCACCAAGCCAACUGCAUCGCGCCCCUGCUCCGUCUCGGGAGGAGCAGCGAGCCAGCGCCCGCCUCUGCAUCGAGCACUGCUCAAUCCGACCGCAUCGCCCAAGGCCCACUCCGCCGUUGCUGCCUUGCUCCGCCCUCGCAGUCCUCCCGCCGGUGAGCAGCACCUGUAGCACGUCGCCCCGUCUCUCUUAUUUCUUCUCCUUCCUCUCACCUUUACUCAAAGCUCUCUCCCGCUGCACACCACAUGAGGUCGCCGCCGACAUGAACACCGAAGAGGAGGCAGGCGGCCUGAGGGGAGAUCGCCGGCGUGGCCCUCGUCGGCGGCAGUCUCCGGCGGGAGGCUCGGAAUCGGGCGGUCGGGCGCAGUCGUCUUUGGUGGGUGGCGGCGCACAGGGGAAAUUGGAAGUGGAUCACCUAGCAAACUGUUGGAAAUAUGCCCUAGAGACAUUAAUAAAUAAGUUAUCAUUAUUAUAUUUCUUUAUUCAUGAUAAUCGUUUAUUAUCCA